This 253-nucleotide ribosomal RNA is filed under the name uncultured bacterium. Its description in RNAcentral is "partial 16S ribosomal RNA". It matches the Rfam family "Bacterial small subunit ribosomal RNA", at positions 524 to 776 of the family's 1533-position model. The record is from RNAcentral.
UACGUAGGGGGCUAGCGUUAUCCGGAAUUAUUGGGCGUAAAGCGCGCGCAGGUGGUUUCUUAAGUCUGAUGUGAAAGCCCACGGCUCAACCGUGGAGGGUCAUUGGAAACUGGGAGACUUGAGUGCAGAAGAGGAAAGUGGAAUUCCAUGUGUAGCGGUGAAAUGCGUAGAGAUAUGGAGGAACACCAGUGGCGAAGGCGACUUUCUGGUCUGUAACUGACACUGAGGCGCGAAAGCGUGGGGAGCAAACAGG